AUUUCCCCUUCUCAUUAUUCCCUUUAUUUUUGAAGACAGAUGAGAUCAGUGCGUCAGAAGCAGAGGUCCAGUUGUGUAAUUUGAUGUGCAGUACGUUCAGGAGCAUGUGUCUGUGUAUCUGUGAGCUAUAUUUGGAUGUACAGUCUAUUAAAAGCCCGGUGCAGUCACCCCCCGGCAGGAGUCAGAGCCCCCAUCCGUGGUGUUGACUGCCUCAGGAGAGGACUGGAGCCCACCCCUGCUUGACUUCUUUUCUCCAGGACGAUGGCUAAAGACAGCAUAUCCCUGCGCUCCCUGAGCAAGACAUUAAACAGAGUAGAAAGCAGGCUGCAAGCCUUGGAGACGCGGUUCCAAGACCUGGACUCAAGCCUGCAGAAGCUGGAGCAGAAGUUUGAGGUGCAGGCCGAGCUCCUGGAGAAGGAGAGGAGCCAGGACACAGCGUGGACAUCAGCGCUGGAAGACAGCCAGACCGCACAGCGCCGCUCCCAGCCGGAAGCUGCAGCCCAGCUGCGGGGCCGCGCGGCACGGAGCGCUGCGGCUCUUCCUGUUUGCUGCUCCCACACGGAGCGCGGCGCCUCGGCCGGCCUUCCCGCAGGGCGGUGAGGGCGGAGCGCGGCGAGGGAAGGCCUGUGAGCGCCGGAACUAGGAGCCUCCUGCCCGGCCGCGGAUCCGCAGCCUCCCUGUGAGGAUCCCCGCCCUUCUGCUGGACCUGCAGGCCUUCCUUCUCCCCGCUCUGCGCGCAGUAAUCUGCGCGUAUGCCAGCUGAAACUUCUUGGCCCAGCAGAGCUUAAGCAAAUAAAUGAAUGUGGAAGACCUUCUCCCUAAGGAAAACCCUGUGAUAGAUAGGGAGAAUGUUGUAUUUCACCUUCACGUGCAGCUAAGCUGUACUAGAAUCAACUUCUGAAGGCUGCACAUAUAGCAAAAAAAUGGACUAAUUUGAAAGUUAAUUCAGUAACUGUGAUAACAUCCACCAAGCAUGACCUUAGCUUGUAACUAUGAGAAAAUAAAUGCUGGAAGACUUUCUUUA
Molecule: long non-coding RNA, 1024 nt
Filed under: Gallus gallus (chicken)
Lineage: Eukaryota; Metazoa; Chordata; Aves; Galliformes; Phasianidae
Description: single-pass membrane protein with coiled-coil domains 1 (SMCO1)
Source: RNAcentral